This 484-nucleotide ribosomal RNA is filed under the name uncultured bacterium. RNAcentral's name for it is "partial 16S ribosomal RNA". It matches the Rfam family "Bacterial small subunit ribosomal RNA", at positions 30 to 507 of the family's 1533-position model. The record is from RNAcentral.
AUUGAACGCUGGCGGAAUGCUUUACACAUGCGAGUCGAGCGGCAGCACGGGGGCAACCCUGGUGGCGAGCGGCGAACGGGUGAGUAAUACAUCGGAACAUGCCCAGUCGUGGGGGAUAACACUUCGAAAGGAGUGCUAAUACCGCAUACGUCCUGAGGGAGAAAGCGGGGGAUCGCAAGACCUCGCGCGAUUGGAGUGGCCGAUGUCAGAUUAGCUAGUUGGUGGGGUAAAGGCCUACCAAGGCAACGAUCUGUAGCUGGUCUGAGAGGAUGAUCAGCCACACUGGGACUGAGACACGGCCCAGACUCCUACGGGAGGCAGCAGUGGGGAAUUUUGGACAAUGGGGGCAACCCUGAUCCAGCCAUUCCGCGUGAGUGAAGAAGGCCUUCGGGUUGUAAAGCUCUUUCGGCAGGAACGAAACGGCGUGCGCUAACAUAGCUUUCUAAUGACGGUACCUGAAGAAGAAGCACCGGCUAACUACGUG